UUAACCAGCCAUAUCACCCUGUAGCUCAAGACCCUGUACCCAAUGAAGCUAAGCAGGGUUGAGCCUGGUCAGUACCUGGAUGGGAGACCUCGUGGGAAAACGUCUCCAGGUUACG
This 115-nucleotide ribosomal RNA is filed under the name Sinocyclocheilus grahami. The record is from RNAcentral. Lineage: Eukaryota; Metazoa; Chordata; Actinopteri; Cypriniformes; Cyprinidae.